This is a long non-coding RNA of Calypte anna (Anna's hummingbird), 248 nucleotides long. RefSeq lists it as uncharacterized. NCBI's taxonomy places the organism in Eukaryota, Metazoa, Chordata, Aves, Apodiformes, Trochilidae. The transcript is spliced from 2 exons. The record is from RefSeq and is a predicted model, not a curated record.
UCAGCCGCCGCUCGCUGCUCCCCGGGGCGUGAUGGCGGGGAUGGAGGUGUGGAAAGUUCCCCCCACACCCCGUGUAGUGCCUCGUUCCACCCCAAAACAACCCCUACUUACUCCUCUGCGUCCCCCCUGCGCCGCAAGGGAGGCUUUUUCUGUCAGGAGUGAAAAUGGGCAAGCCAAAAAUGAGGAAAUUGAAAUGUUUUGGCUCAGCAUUUCUGGCAGCACCCCACAAAUGAUUAAAAAAAAAAAAA